RNAcentral lists this unclassified non-coding RNA (139 nucleotides) under soil metagenome. RNAcentral describes it as "partial internal transcribed spacer 1". The record is from RNAcentral.
UCAAAACAGCGGCCUUCGGGCCUCGCUGCACCCUUGUCUUUUGCGCACCGUAUUGUUUCCUCGGCGGGCUUGCCUGCCGGUUGGACAUCAUAAAACCUUUUUGUAGUUGCAAUCAGCGUCGGAAAAACAAUAAUUAUUA